This 355-nucleotide ribosomal RNA is filed under the name uncultured Anaerolineaceae bacterium. RNAcentral describes it as "bacterial SSU rRNA". It matches the Rfam family "Bacterial small subunit ribosomal RNA", at positions 1014 to 1382 of the family's 1533-position model. Lineage: Bacteria; Bacillati; Chloroflexota; Anaerolineae; Anaerolineales; Anaerolineaceae. The record is from RNAcentral.
GACCCUUCGGGGAGCUUGUACAGGUGCUGCAUGGCUGUCGUCAGCUCGUGUCGUGAGAUGUUCGGUUAAGUCCGCUAACGAGCGCAACCCUCGCUGUGUGUUACAAGUGUCACACGGAACUGCCGGUCAUAAACCGGAGGAAGGUGGGAUGACGUCAAGUCAGCAUGGCCUUUAUAUCCUGGGCUACACACACGCUACAAUGGGAAGGGACAAUAGGUUGCGAAGCCGCGAGGCGGAGCCAAUCCAGCAAAACUUCCCUCAGUUCAGAUUGCAGGCUGCCAACCCGCCUGCAUGAAGUUGGAGUUGCUAGUAAACGCAGGUCAGCCAUACUGCGUUGAAUACCGUUCCGGGGCUU